This 481-nucleotide ribosomal RNA is filed under the name Flavobacterium sp. WB4.1-2. Its description in RNAcentral is "bacterial SSU rRNA". It matches the Rfam family "Bacterial small subunit ribosomal RNA", at positions 13 to 495 of the family's 1533-position model. Lineage: Bacteria; Pseudomonadati; Bacteroidota; Flavobacteriia; Flavobacteriales; Flavobacteriaceae. The record is from RNAcentral.
UUGAUCCUGGCUCAGGAUGAACGCUAGCGGCAGGCUUAACACAUGCAAGUCGAGGGGUAUAGUUCUUCGGAAUUAGAGACCGGCGCACGGGUGCGUAACGCGUAUGCAAUCUACCUUUUACAGAGGGAUAGCCCAGAGAAAUUUGGAUUAAUACCUCAUAGUAUAAUGACUUGGCAUCAAGACAUUAUUAAAGUCACAACGGUAAAAGAUGAGCAUGCGUCCCAUUAGCUAGUUGGUAAGGUAACGGCUUACCAAGGCUACGAUGGGUAGGGGUCCUGAGAGGGAGAUCCCCCACACUGGUACUGAGACACGGACCAGACUCCUACGGGAGGCAGCAGUGAGGAAUAUUGGACAAUGGGCGCAAGCCUGAUCCAGCCAUGCCGCGUGCAGGAUGACGGUCCUAUGGAUUGUAAACUGCUUUUAUACGAGAAGAAACACUACUUCGUGAAGUAGCUUGACGGUAUCGUAAGAAUAAGGAUCG